This 449-nucleotide ribosomal RNA is filed under the name uncultured bacterium. RNAcentral's name for it is "bacterial SSU rRNA". It matches the Rfam family "Bacterial small subunit ribosomal RNA", at positions 329 to 792 of the family's 1533-position model. The record is from RNAcentral.
UCCCAGACUCCUACGGGAGGCAGCAGUGGGGAAUAUUGCACAAUGGGCGAAAGCCUGAUGCAGCAACGCCGCGUGAAGGAAGAAGGGUUUCGGCUCGUAAACUUCUAUCAACAGGGACGAAAGAAAUGACGGUACCUGAAUAAGAAGCCCCGGCUAACUACGUGCCAGCAGCCGCGGUAAUACGUAGGGGGCAAGCGUUAUCCGGAUUUACUGGGUGUAAAGGGCGUGUAGGCGGGUCUGCAAGUCAGAUGUGAAAUCUCAUGGCUCAACCAUGGAACUGCAUUUGAAACUGUAGAUCUUGAGUGAUGGAGAGGCAGGCGGAAUUCCGUGUGUAGCGGUGAAAUGCGUAGAUAUACGGAGGAACACCAGUGGCGAAGGCGGCCUGCUGGACAUUAACUGACGCUGAGGCGCGAAAGCGUGGGGAGCAAACAGGAUUAGAUACCCUUGUA